GCACCAAGAAGCUUCUUCACUCCUGCACAGCAUGGCGGUGGAGGACUGGCAUUAUUAGGAGCUUGAAGAUAAGUAAGGCAUGGAGCCAAAUCACCGGAUACAGUUCCACAUGACAAAGCAGCUUCUGCCAUAAGCUUGAAGAUAAGUAAGGCAUGGAGCCAAAUCACCGGAUACAGUUCCACAUGACAAAGCAGCUUCUGCCAUAGGCGCAAUAACUACCAUGCACAUCACCAAAGCAACACAUGCUAAUUUCAUGCUUGUUGCCAUUUUUGUUUUCUUUGUUUUCUAUUCUUUUUCUUAGUUUGUUUGAAUGGUGUGUAAUGUCUUUGUGGGAGGGGGUUUAUAUAGAAAAUAAGAUAAGGUUUGAAGAUGAGUAGAUUGAUGAAUUUUUUGUGAAUGUGCAUAAAAAUUAGGUGGUAGUUGUGGUUUGAAUUAAUGACGUAUGGUCCAUUAUCUAUAAUUAUUGAGCAUUUGUCUCACUAUCUUUAAUUUAUUAUUUAAUGAUAUGGUACACAGUUAGAUUGGACGAUAAUUACUGUAGUUUCCGAAUUCAAUUUUCCACCCUCCUUCUUUCUCUUCUCUAUUUUAUCGGUGCUUUCUGCGCUUUGUAUGAUUUUUAACUUUCUUAUAUAGGAUUAUCUUAUUAAUACUACUAUUUUAAAAUUUAGUAUAUUUUUUUAAAAGCAAAUAUUAAAAGAGGGUGGGAUAUAUAGAAUGAAACUUGUUUCGCCAUAGUUUUGAAUGGUUUUAGUGUUAUGAUUCGAGAUUUUGAUCUUAGGGGUUUUAUUAGAAAGGACAUCGUCCCUCCUAAAGUACGUGUUUUGUCUAAUGCCUCUUUAGAAAAAAUGUUCAGAACAUGUAUGUGAAAUUUUACAUGACCAUAGGAUAGAAAGCAAUUUUGGAUUGUUUGAAAGCAGCACAUGUUCAAAAUUUCCUCCUUGCUAUUAUUAUUAAUGGUCAUGCCAACAUAUGACCCUGAUAGAAUAUCAUACAAUUCUUAAAUAUCGAUUUAUGAUUCCCUUAUUUCUUGUCGACAAAGUUUUCUCUGUUUUUCGUAAGGUGUGCUUGGAUAUAUUUGGGGUGUCAUUUGACAUACUUUGGCGUGCCACGGUACCUGUGAAGAAAGAGUCACAUGUGAAUUUUUGUACUGACCACGUGAGGGAUGAUCGACACUUAGGCCAACAAAUGUUUUAGUGUACGAGUGGAUAGGAGAGAAACAUGCAUAUGUAGACUUGAUUUCAGUUUUGACAAACAUUUUAAAAAUAAAUCGAACACGCUAGGUUAAAUUACACGAAACGUAGAUUAAUAAAAUUGAUGUUUGCAAGCUUGAUUUUGAAAAUUUUCGUCAACUAUUUUGACACACAUUUUACAAUUGAUUCAACCGAUUUUCCUGUAGAUACAAAAAUUUAUUUCGACUGACAUUCUAGACAUUAUGCGGUAUGAAAUACAUGUUAUGUUAUGCAGAGAUGCAACAAUUAUGAUGAAUGCAUUGAAUCGUUGAUUCACGGUCAAAAUCGGGAUGUGACAAGUUCUACCAGGGUUUCAUCAAGGGUUCCAUCUAAGGUUUUUAUCAAGGGUUCCACUAGGGUUUCAUCAAGGGCUCCAUCAAGGGUUCCAUCUAAGGUUUUUAUCGAGGGUUCCACCAAGGUUUCAUCAAGGCUCCAUCAAUGGUUUCAUCAAGGUUUUGUCAGGAGUUUUUAUCUAGGGUUCCACCAAGGUUUCAUUAAGGGCUCCAUCAAGGGUUUUAUCAAGAGUUUUUAUCAAGGGUUCCACCAGGAUUUCAUCAAGGGUUUCAUCACGGGUUUUAUCAAAGGUUCCACCAGGGUUUCAUCUAAAGGUUUCACCAAGGGUUUCAUCAAAGUUUGAUCAAAGGGUUUCAUCAGGGUUCCACAAAGGGUUUCAUCGGGGUCCCACCAGGGGUUAUGUUAGAAGUUUCGUUAGCAGCGAUCGGAGGAUCACUACAAUCCUACUUGAAUUUCGUAAAAAAUGAUCAGAGGAUCAUCGGAAUCAUACACAGGUUUCACCAAGAGGGGUUGAAACCUACCAAAGAUUCUGGUUCCAUCAUAGUGUUGCAUGGAUUCCCCCAAGGAAGUGGUUCAAAUAUUUGAGUUCCAUUAAGGAUAUUAUUCGGGAUCCAUUAGAUUGGUUAUGUGAGUUUCACAAGGGUUCCACCAAAAGUUGGUUUAGAUACCAACGAAGUACAAAAGGCAUCAAGUCUUUAUACAUCCCCAAAAAAUCUACUAACUCCAUGGACAAAAUUAGGGUCCCUCUCUAUAUUUAAUCGUCUUCCGUCAUGAGAGGAUGAAGACUCGCCAUCACCAUCAUCUCAAUUUAAAUUUGAUUAAAUAGGGACAGUUGUCUUACCCCAAAAUUUGUCUGCCCUUCAUAUGUUUUCUAACGCCACUUUAUUUCGAAUAAAUGAAAUGACACUGUUUUUUUACUGAGUCCCAACUUUAUUUUUAAAAAAGUUUGUUUUUUUAUUUUUAUUUUUUUAAAACCACUGAUGGAUUUUCUUUUCUAUUUCAUUAGUGCCUUUUAAUUUGAAAUUUAAAUUUUAUUUAUUUGAAUAUUAUAAUAUAUAUAUAUAUAUAUAUAUAUAUAUAUAUAUAUAUAUAUAUAUAUAUAUAUAUAUAUAUAUAUUAAUUAUAUAUAUAUAUAUAUUAGUAUAUAUAAAUCUUUUACUAAUAAUUUACAAAUUUUUGUAAAUAAUAUCCACUACUAUUUCGAUCACAGAACAUACUAGUAAUAUAUUGACAUGUGAUACUUCCCUAAUUAUUCUGCAUCUUGUAUGAUUUUCAAUAAAAAUAUACAAAGUGUUGUACCAUAGAAUAAAUCAAAAAACUUAAUAUAUGAAACUAUUAAUAUGAUAUUUAAUUAAGUUUUUAGGCAACACAUAAUUGCAUCAAUUAACUCUGGUUGAUAAAUUAUGACUAUUUAUUUACGUUUUAUAAAUUAUAUUAUAUAUCACAUAUAUUUGAAAAUAAUUCAUAUUUUACAUAAAAAAGAAAUCAAUUUAUUUUAAGUAAUUGUAUAUAUAAGUAUUUUAUCAAUUCAACUCUUAAAUUAAAAUUUUAAAUUGAUAACUUUUAUAAUUUCUUAUAAAAAUUCAAUGAAUAUUGAUUACACGUGCAUUUAAUCUUGUUUUCCAAUUUAGACAUUCUUGAAAAUAUUUUAGAAGUAAUAAUAUAAUAAUAAAAAAUCAUGCAAUACAUCUAUAAUUUUUUUUACAAUGUAUAACUUAAUUUUUUUUAACAAACAAUACAUAUAACAUAAACUUAUACUAGUAUUUAUUAUUACAUAGAUUAAAUGGCCCCACAUCCUUAAUUUUCUGGAUCUACCCCUAGAUCCUACAAACAAAAACCAUCCCACGUUACACUACACAACCAUUGCAUGUGAAAAAUAGUAAUGUAUGUUGGUACAAAGCAGAGAGAAAGAAUGGUAAAAGAUCUAGUCUCAUCUCAUUUUUAGUUAACAAUUAAUUUCUUUUUAUUUGAUUUAACUAUCAUUUAACUAUCAUUAUUUUUAUUUUUAUUUGACAUUUGAAGCAUAGGCUCAAACCUAAUAGUAUCAAUCUCUUCAUAUAUCAAAACUUUUUUAAUUCAUGAAUUGAAUAGUUCUUUUUUCUUUUCAACAAAUAUUUAAACUUCUUGGUGCUUUUGUUACGGAUUUGAUAAAGUGAUUUGGUCUUCAACGCCAUUGACUCAACGUCGCAGUCACUCUGUCGACACUUCCUCUCAAACUAGAAGGUUUUAGGUUUAUUUUUUUUCCUUUUAUCAUAUAAAUGUGUGAGUCUGUCUUUGGCCCAUGUGUAUGUCCAUUUAAUUGAUUUUGUUCUACAUGUUAAUUAAUUACAUUUACACGGUAUAUUAUAACUCUUAGAUUAAUUUUUGUGUCAUUCAGCAGAAAAGUAUAUUAAUGUAAUUUUGUUUGAUACUUGAAAAGAUUAAAAAAGAUAAUAUUAUAAAAACACCCAAAAUAUUAAUUUAGUUAAUUCUCUUUUAUUAACUCUUUUUUCAUUUUAUUAAUUUCGACCACUAAGAUUAUUAACAUAUAAAAGUAAUAAACUCAUAUCUUAUUUUACUUUACGUUAAAAACAAAAUAAAAGUCAAAAAUAUUUCUUUACAUAUUUAAAAUAUUUCUUCUCAUUUUUAAUUCUAAAAAUUUAAAAAGACAAAAAAAUAUAUUAUAUAUUUUAUAUCUUUGUUUUUUGUUUAAAAAUUAAUCUAUUAGGUCUAACUUAAUCUAGUUUAUUUUCUUCUAAAUUCAUUUUAAAAUAAAUUUAUUUCUUUAUAAUAAGAAUAGUAAAAAAAACAAUAAUAAUAAUAAUAAUAAUAAUAAUAAUAAUAAUAAUAAUAAUAAUAAUAAUAAUAAUAAUAAUAAUAAUAAUAAUAAUAAUAAUUAUCUAUGUAAAUAUGAAUUUAUUUUCUAAAUCAAAUUAAAACUAUAUUUUGCAAACUAACUUGAUUGUUUGGCGUCACACCUUAUCGAUAAAUAAUUCAACUAAAAACUUAAAAUCAAUUCAAACACAAUCAAAUGUUAUUUUCUCUGUCCUUGUGCAUUGAUAUUCGCUUUUUUAAACAAAAAUUUCUCCGCCCUGGUGCUUGAGAUAUUUUCACAACUAAAAUCAACAAACAUACAAUAUUUUCUAGACGGAUUUCAGUACUUUGAUCAUUCAUAUUGCUUGAGGGUACGUAGGCAUAGAGUUGUAACACUCUGGUGAAUACAAUAACAAAAACCUUUUCUCUGUCAUCUUUCCUGAUUAAAUUUUUCUUUUAUUAAAAUGAUAACCUAAUUCCCUGUAAAUAGGUAUAUUAAGCAAAAAUAGAUAACAUAAGAAAACACCCCAUAGAUAACACCUCCCCCUCACUAAAUCGACUCCCGAACCCUAAUGCACUAUCCUUACCUUUUAGGGUUUUCUCAUUAUUUCCCAUGUUCAUUAGGAACAAAUAAAAUAUGGUGGCAACUCGGUAAUUUUCCAGCCGCGACAACAAUAUUCCAUCUUAAAUAUCUUGAGUAUCUCACUUGUAUAUCUUCUUUGAUGCAUCACCAAAUCUCUACUACUCUUGUAGAAUUUGAUGCCAAGAAAGUAUGAAAUGUCUCCCAAAUCAAACAUUUCGAAUUCCUUGCUAAGGUCACCUUUGAAGUCUUCGAUCUCUUUCUUACAAUUACCAGUUCUUAAUAAGUCAUCGACAUAGAGAUAUAGUAUAAGCAAUUCACUCUUGCUUCUUCUUACAUGUAAUCCAUGUUUAGUUGUGCACUUCACAAAUUCGUCCUCCCUUAGAAAGCUAUAUAUCUUCUUAUUCCAAGCUCUUGGAGCUUGCUUAAGUCCAUACAGGGCUUUGUACAACCUGUAUACCUUGCUUUCUUCGACUUGUUUCACAAACCCAACUGGUUGUGCAACAUAAACUUCUUCAUCUAAGAGGGUCAUUUAAGAAUGCACAUUCACAUCCAUAUGACACAUAUGCCAGUUGUUCGUGUUUGCUAGACUAACAACCAACCUGAUUAUUUUGAUCCUAGUAACAGGUGCAAAAACUUUGUCGAUUCCUUCUUUUUGAAGAAAUCCUUUCGCCACAAGUAUUUCCUUGUGUCGAGUUACUUCUCCUUUAGGAUUCAACUUCACCUUGUAUACCCACUUCUCAUUGAUUGCCUUCUUGUCUUUAGGCAAUUCGACAAGUGACCAAGUGUUGUUGACUUCAGUGGACUUCAGUUCCUCAUUCAUUUCUUUCAUCCACUUCGAAUCCUUCAAUACCUCGACUGCAUUGACUAGUUCAUCAUAUGCAUAGAAAGCAUAGUGUACCAGCUCACCUUUAUCAUCAACCACAUCAUCUAAUGUAAUCACACAUUCUUUCAACCUUACAGGCAUAUGUCUUGUUCUUUGAGGUCUGUUUGUGCUUGUUUGACCUCUGACUUCUUCUUGUCGAACUUCUCUUUCGAAUUCACUUGUUGGGUAUUCACAUAGGAUUCAUACUGAAUCCUUCUUGACAUUUUCAGUCCAAUCACAUUCCUUAAGCUCAUCUAUGAUCACAUCCUUGUUGAUCAAUAAUUGCUUGUUCAUCAAUAUUGUUUCAGAAUUCUCCAUAGGUUUGGUGUAUUUCCACAUUCAGGAAUUUCGUCUUAAUCCCAACAUCUGGUAUCUAAGCACUAGCUGUGUGAUUCUUGGGAAGCAUAAUGCUCUGAUUGAUUACACCUUUUGUUCUCCACUCUUCACUUGAGUGAAUCAACCAACCUUGAUUUCAAGAUGAUUUUGUUGCACGAUGACUAUUGAAGAAGAAAAAAAAGAUGAAUUGAGGAAGAAAGGAGAAUUUAGGGUUUGAGAGAAAAGGGGAAGAAGAAGAAGAAUUCUGCAGAGUUUUUCUUUCUGCUUUCAAACUGAAAUUUUAUUCAACUUUUUUCUAUGCAACUGCAUUACAAACAACGAUAAGUACCUCCUUAUUUAUAGGUUGAUAUUGCUUCCACACCAACCAAUCACCAACUAACCUAACUAACUAAACUAAAACAAACAAAUAAAAUUAAGUCAAAAUUAUGUCGAGAUACACUUUAAUAUUUCGACAACUCCUUUCGAACAACAUGCUUCAAUAUAAGAAAUUACAUUUUCAAAUAUAUAUAUAUAUAUAUAUAUAUUAUAUAUAUAUAUUAUAGAUUUUUUUUUUUUUUUUUAAAAUGAAAGUUAUUGUCGACCAAGACUUUCCUCAUUUUAAAGGCAUUUAUUAUUAAUCAAGUGAGUGCCUCUAUCAAAUUUUCAUUUAUAUAUAAAUUUUUGCUUUUAAUCAAUAUCCAUUAAAUAAAUGGUUGUUAUCCUUUAAACAUGACACGAUAUAUACUCUCAAGAGAGGUAAACACCACUUAACUUUUUUCAUUAAUGAACCAUGGAUAAAAUUAAUACGACCUUUAGUAUUUUAAAUUGACAUUAUCAAAACAAUAAAAUGACGAGAAAAUUAGAAAGAAAAAACAAAUUGAUCUUUAGAAUUGACUUAUCUAACACUGCAUCGAUGAUAAUAAAAACAGGCAGCAUUAUGUCGACAGGGACGGUUGCCGACCAUACUGUGUGUCAGCAAAGUUGAUAAAUUUCACCAUAGGUGUUCCUUAAUCACGGCACCGAAUUCAUACCCCACGAUGUUGUGGUACCCAUUGAAAUUCAAACUGUUGCUAUUUUGCAGACUGCAAUACAUUUUUUGUUUGGCAAUAAAGUUAGUCAGCCAUGGAUCCAUAAAUAAUUGAUUGGAGCUUAGUUAACUGUUUAAAUAUUCAUACAAAAAAUAUUUUUAUUUAAAAAAAUUUAAAAAUAACAAAAAUUGAACACACUUGCUUCUAAGUUUAAUCUCUCUAAUUUAUUCACUUGAGAAUAGAUUAGACUAGAGAAUCAAAUUUAGAAUAUUUUGUAAUCAAUUGUGUAAAUGUUCAUGUUGUUAUAAAUAUAAUAAAUACAAUGAGGAAAGGCAUCCCGCCAGAAUUUGUGACAUCCAUGUCACCUUUAUCAAAGAGGAAAUGAGACACCAUAAAAUCUUUAUGAUAACUCUCAAAGGAUCCGUCAUGGAAUAAAUCAUUAGAAUACAACACCAUAAAAUCUUGGAGGAAAUUAUGUGAAGAUUUCAUAAUACAAUUCAUAACACAUUGGAGAAAGUUGAAGAGAGUAGUGUUCCUUAGUGGGAUCCAUUAGAAGAAGAAUGAUACCUCAAAUACAUGUAAUAAUUGUGAGGUCAUAGUAAUUUCACGUGUAAAAGCAUGUAUAAUUGUAAGGAUAGGGUGAUUUCAAUGUGAAAUAUGAUUUUCCACAAUAUCUUGAAUUCCAUUAUAACUCACUCUAAUUCAUGCAAUAUUAGUCAUAAAAAUGGUUUAAAUGCUUUAUAAGUAUCUUGGAAAAAGUAGUAUCAUAGGGUGUCACCAGACACAGACACUUAUUUUAAUGUUUCGUCUAUUUCUUAUCUUCAAUUUCAAGCAUUUUAGUAAGUUUAGAAGGACCAUUUAUUUAGCGUUAAAUGUGAACAAAGGAUCCACUGUCAUUAAGUGGGUUCCCGAUUUAUAUGAAGGGAUAUGUAAGUCAUGGUAACUCGAGAACCACUUAUGAAACUAAUCUAUAUCCAAACUUAUCAAAAUAGAAAAAUCUUGAUCACCACAACUUAAUCAUAACAUCUUGAUCUUCAAGUACCAACAUUUGGUAAACAAGUUUUGAUCUUCAAGCACCAUCACUUGAUCCACAAUAUGUCAGUUACCACCACUUGAUCAACAACUAUCAAGAAUCAUCACUUGAUCAACCACAUAUCAAUCACAAGAUCCACAUAUAAAGCACCAUCAAUUGAACAAUAAGAUGUCAAGCAUCAUCAUUUGAUCAACAUAUCAAGUGUCAUCACUUGAUUAAUCUUCAAGCACAAUCACAUGAACCAACUUAGACUUGAACAAGACUGAUGAAGAAUUCUCUUAAGAGUCUUGUCAACAUCAAAACCAAAAUAAUACAUUGUUAGAGUCUUCAUACCUGUAAACACAUAGAUCCACAUUAUCCUUUUUUUUUGAUGAAAAAUAAUCUCUUAAGGAGUUGGAAUAACAAAGAAAAAAUGUUAUAAAACUUGGAGUGAUUAAACUCCCCCUACAAACAUAGAGAGUAUACCCUACUUCCCCUGAGAGUAUACUUUUGCCCCCUUGGCGUUAUCAAAAAUUUGGGGAAAAUUAAGCAGAUAGACUUGUAUAUGAAUUAUUCAAGCACAUAUAUCAUAAGAGAUGUGCAUAGACAUUUAAUGGAAAACAUACUUCAUCAAUUGAAAUGACGGAAUUCAAAUACAGAAAGGGAAAUAACAAGGAAUUUAAAAGACUAUGAAAAGAAGGAAAAACAUAGGUGAGAUAACUAUUUGUUGUCAUUAAUAUCAUCAUCUAUGAUUAUGUAUUUUUUGUUGUUGAGUUCCUCUUGAUGAUAACCAUGUCCUUUAUUAAUUUUUGAAUAGCCAUAGUGUUUUUCUGAGAUAUUUUCAGAAGGUGUUAAUGAUUGAAUCAUUUGUUGUAUCUAGAUGGAUACUUCAUUUAUGGAUUUGUUCCAUAAUUCUCCUUGAAAGAUAUGAACCCUCAUACUACUGAGGGAUGAGUAGUUAAUACUAUAGUGAUUGAAUCCAUAAAUUCCCCUUGUGUUGACUCUUAGAGUAUCUAUAAUAUUGGUGAUCAAGGCUCUAUAUCGUGACCCUGUUGAUCGAGACUGCUUGUAGGAGGUCAUAUGGAGAAGCAUCUCGUUGAUCCAAUUUGUUUGAAACUGUUGGGUAAGCAGCCACAAAGGGACCAUAUAUUCUCGAAUGAUGACUUCAAGAUUAUCUUGUAUAGGGAAGAGUAUAUGUGUGAUAAAAUAAUGUUGGGUGAGAAUAUGGAGCAUAGAAAUGGUGUAUAUGGGGGGAGGGGGUUGAAUACACCCUUUUGAAAAAUUUAACCAAUUUUUGAAAUGAAAAAUCAGAGUUUUUGAUGUGGAAGUCUUAUAACAAAAAAAGAUAGACUUUAUGCUUAAAUUGGAAAUUAACCACGUAUACAAUUACCUAAUUAACAAAUAUCUUUGAUUGAUUAGAGAUAAUAUCUAAAGAGUUACAUGCUACGAUGAAUUGUCACUUUGUUAAUUACACAAGAUAUGUUCUUUACAAUAUCCAAUUUCUAUGAAAGUUUAACACAACAGUUUGUAGAAUUUAAUCAGAACUAAAACACAAAUAGAUUUUGAUUCUAACAAAACCUAAAUUUAUAUAAUAAAUAACUACCAACAGGUAUUAACAAUAAAUUACACUAAGAAAGGUUAACCUAAACAUGCAAUAGCCUACGAAAAAUUAAAAUGAGAGAGAGAAAGAGAGUGUGAACACUAGGAUGUAUAGUGGUUCAGAUCUAUCUUCCUGCAUGAGCCUAAUCCACUCUCCAAUUGUUUCUCAUUAAAAAAAUUUCUUCAACUAUGUUUUGAAAAAAAUUACCUGAGUUCAUACAAUCAUUAAUCCAUAAUAAUGCUGAGAAAAUAAAUCUUUUAUCUGGAUCUUAACUUGUACACUGCCUUUAUACUGAACUCUUUGUGAAAUCUUUACUCGGUUAUUGCUUCUUUAAUCUUCCAGAUUCACCAAUAUUCUCCAAGUCUCCGUGUAUGGUAAUCGCCCAUGAUCUCACUAAUUUCUUGAGCAAUGAAUUGUCUGAAGAUUGAGAAGAACCGCUACCUUGUAUGUAGGCUUCCUUAUAACUCUGCCAAGAGAUUUUGAGUUUUCAAAGAUAUGGAAGUUGUUGUUGUUAUGUUCUUGGUUAUUAUAAAUUGAGAUGACAAAAUAAUUUAUAUGUGCUAGAGAUUACGCACAAAAGUAUGUGAAAAAUGGUUCUUAGAUUCGAGUCAAGAACAUUUGUUGAUUUGAGUCAAGUGAGCAAGUAAAGUGGAACAAGAUUAACAUAACAAAAGUGACUUAUUUCCUGUGAUUCGAGUCAAAUUAUAUGUAUGAUUCUAGUUAUACAAGCUCAUAAUUUGAGUCAAGUAGAAACCCUGAUUCGAAUCAAUUUGAACUGAGCCGAAUAGUAAAAUGUGAAAAAACUAUGUGAUUCAAGUCAUUUGUAAAGUGUGAUUCAAAUCAAACUGGGAAGUGGCAAAUAGGAUUUGUAUGAUUCAAUCAUGUGCAACUUGUGAUUUGAGUCACAGUGUUGUAUAAUUUUGAAUCAAGUUAAAAUUGUGAUUUGAGUCACAGAUGCAAAAGUCUCCGGCUUCCAUUCCCUGCACAUAGACCUUAAUAUUUUCUUAGCACAAUCUCUGCCAAAAACGGACUUUCCUAAAUUGUUGAUUUUGUUGAUUAAGUGGAAGAACCUAGUCUUCAUGGAUUCCACGAAUUCUCCGGGAUCCACACGAAAUAGUUCGAACUCAUCUGUUACCAUGUUGAUCUUAGAAUCCUUGACGUCAUUUGUUCCAUUGUAAAGGGUUUGAAUAUCGUCCCACAUAGAUUUUGCGCUCUUAUGAUGUAAAAUAGAGUAUAAUACUUUCACACUUAAAAUUGAGAUAAGUAUGUUACUCGCUUUCAAAUCAUAUGAAGCCUUUUUGGUUUCAUCAUCUAUCUAAUCCUUUGGGUGUUUAACAUCUACCCGUAGAUUUUUAUAAAUUGAUAAUAAAUGUACAUACAUAUUUUCUUUCCAAUAAUGAUAAUUAUCGGCAUCUUCACCCAUAUUCCCAAAAUUUUGAGUCACUUAGACCUGAUCAAAAUACCAACUUUGAUACUAAUUAUUGGGUGAGAAUAUGGAGUAGAAAAUGGUAUAUAAUGGGUGAAUAGACCCUUUUGAAAAAUUUGACCGAUUUUCAAAAUGAAAAAUCGAAGUUUUUGAUGCGGAAGUCUUAUAGAAAAAAUAGAGACUUUAUGCUUGAAUUGGAAAUUAAUCACUAAUAUAAUUACACAAUUAAUAAAUAUCUCAGAUUGAUAAGAGAUAAUAUCCAAAGAGUUACCACCUGUGAUGUAUUGUCACUUUGUAAAUUACACGAGAUGUGUUCUUUACAAAAUACAAUUUCUAUGAGAUUCUAACACCACAGUUUGCAAAAUUUAAUUAGCACUAAAACACAAAUGAGUUCUGAUUCUAAAAAAAACUAAACUUGUGUAAUAAAUUGCUACCAACAGUAAUUAACAAUAAACUACACUAAGAAACGAUUACCUAAACAUGCUAUAUCCUACAAAAUUAAAAUAAGAGAGAGAGAGAGAGAGAGAGAGAGAGAGAGAGAGAGAGAGAAAGAGAGAGAGAGAGAGAGAGAGAGAGAGAGUACGCCCGAAUGUAUAAUGGUGCGGGUCUAUCGUCAUCAUAGAAGCCUAAUCCAUUCUCCAAUGGUUUCCCAUUGAAAGUUGUCAUUCCACUAUGUUUUGACAAAAAUUGCACGAGUUUAUACAAUCAUUAAUCCAGAAUAAUGAUGAGAAAACAAAUCUUCUAUCUGGAUCUUGACUUUUACAUAGCAUUUAGGAUGAACUUUCUGUGAAAUCUUUACUCGAUUCUCGCGUCUUGAAUCUUCCAACUUCACUAAUCUUCUCCAACUUUUCGCGUGUGGCAAUCACCUCUGAUCCCACCGAUUUCUUCACGAAGAUUGAGAAGAACGCAUACCUUGUCUGUAGGCUUCCAUACAACUCUACAAAGGUCAUCAUAGAGAGAAGAACCUUUUUUUUUCACCAGAUUUUGUCACCACAAGUCACAACAAUCCCAAUGAUAAAGUUUUUACUGGUUUGUCAACAAAUGUGAAAGAGGGGGAGGAUAAGUAUCUUUAUGGCCAGUAGUUGGUUUCUUAUAAUUAACAUCCCCUUGGACCUCUUUCUCCUUCAAAUAUUGACUUUAGAACCUUAUCAUGUGUAUGAAUCAAUAGUGAAUCAAGUUUUUAACGUAACCCCCAAAGGCGUAGUGGUUUUUUAGUGUUUCUUUCAUCCAUCAUUGGUGGAUUUGGUGUUUGAGUUCUAACUUGGUUCAUAUUUGUUGGUUACUUGUUGUAUUAGUAGCACUACUACAAAAUAGACGUUUGGUAACACCCAUUUUACAACGGUUUUCCUAUUAACCGUGGUAAUAAUUUUUUGGGGCGUUUUUUUUUUGUGUAUUUACUAAAAGAUAUUUCACAACGGUCAUUGAUACCAACUGUGGUUAAAAGUGGCGUCUGAUCAUGAGUUUGAAUCUCAGCACCUACAAUUUUGUUUUUAUUUAUUUUUAAGCCACUUUUCACCACCGUUGGAACUUUCAACUGUCGUGAAAAGUGGAUCCUGGUCAUGAGUUCGAAUCCUAGCACAUACAGUUUUAUUUUUAUUUAUUUAUUAAAAGACAUACAACAACGGUUGAUUAAAGUAACUGUUGUGAUAUGUUAAGACAUAUAACAAUGGUUGUUUAAAGUAAUUUUUCUGAUAGGUACAAUUUUUUUUUUAAUAUUUAUUAAAGUAAGCAUGUUUAUUGAGUUUCUUCGCCAUUCUUAAAUAAAUCUUUGUCGGCCAUUUAGUGAGUAUCAAUGCCCAAGACACUACCAUUGGUGAUCCGCAUGAAACCUAAAACUUAGAUGAACUUUCAACUUAGAAGAACUUCAUCUUCUACCUCCAAACAUCUUCUUCCAUUUAUGACUCUCUAUUUCUCCACUAAAUUAAACUCGAAGACAUUCUUUCUUCCAUAAGCAAAACUCAAAAACAUCAUUUCUUUCAUUAACAAAUUCCAGAACUCCAUCACCUCUUCUCCCACUUGAAUGAGACAAGGAAAACAUGGAUUCUAGUUAGCAAUGUUAGUGUUUUUGUUAUUUUGUUGUUGUUGUUGUUGUUGUUCUAUUGCUGCAUUUUUAUUUUAUUUUAUUAAAAGUCAUACAACAACGGUUGUUUAAAGUAACCAUUGUAAUAAAGUGAGACAUACAACAAAGGUUGUUUAAAGUAACCGUUGUGGUAAGUAGCGUGGUGAAAAAUGUCAUACAUACAAUCAUACCAUACCUCACAACGGUUGAUCCAAAGUGGUAGUAUCCAUUUUCCGACUGUUGUGAUAGAUAUUUUUCGUAGUAGUGUAACUAUUCGAUUUUCCUUUUCUUUCUGCUUAUUUUUGUUCUUGGUGAUUGAUUGUAUUAGCUCCAUCAUUUUAUCUUUUAGUUUUUUUUGUCUGUUUUUUUUUCUUUGGAGGUUUUUCUCUUCGUUAUUAAUAUAGUAAUUGAUAAAAAAAAUGUUAGUAAUAUUUUCCGUUACCACGUUUAAACAAUCCAACUUAUUAGUAAAACCCAUUUUGUUGUAGAUAAGUUUAUGCAACUUUAUCCAUAAUAAAUGUAAGUUAAAUAUGAACUUAAUUGUAUAAACUCAAAUCUCCUUAGACUUACGAAAUGACAUUAAUAUCAAACAAACUUGCUUUUAACUUUGUUUUUAAUUGUGAUACAUUGCAUUUUUUUAAGGGUAUUUUAGAUUUUUCUUUCACACUAUUAAAUUAAUAAAAUCACAACUUUUGUUGCAUUAAAUAUAUUUAAUAAUAUCGUUAUGAAAAAGACAUAUCAAAUUAACUUUUCUAGCCUCUUAUCUUGAUUUUUCAUUUGUGAUACAAUGAUUUUUUAAAGAUGUUUUACUAUUUUACAAUAUUAUAUUGAUAAUAUCAUAAGUUUUUUUUUGCAUUAAAUCAAUUUAAUAAUAGCAUUUAUAUAUUAAUUUAAUCAUUAAUUAUUAUAUAUGUUAUAAAAGAAAAAUUAUCUUUGAACCACAACUAAGAUUUAGAUUAAAUUAAUAUUUUAAUAACUAUUGUAUAAAAAACAAUAAUCAUAAUAUACUUUAAUUAUACUUUUAACGUUAAUAUGUAUACACGGGACAAAUGUUUGUUUGGCAUUGAUCAAUAAAUUAAAUUAAUAAAAUUAAAAAAUAAUUAUAACAUAAUUUACUAAAAUAAAUUGAUUCAACAGUCCUUGUCCUUAAAAUGUUGGAGUUUCAUAUCUUUUAAAAUUUUCAAACUUAAAAUUAUAAUAUAUAAAAUAUCAACGUGACAUUUAAAAUAAUUCAAAAUAAAAAUAAUAAAAUCAUAUCAGUAUUUUUGGAAUUAAAACAAAUAAAUAAUUGUUGAGUUAGCGAGCCACACAAAUCCUUUUGUCCAAUCAAAUUCCAAAAUAUUUAAAUGAUCUAAAUCUUUAUAUUGCAAGAUUGUUUUUGCAAAAAAUAGUUUUACAGGGGCAUAAAUUAAAAUUCGCCUAUGGCACGGGGAAAUGAUAUUAACCAUUUAUAAAAUUAUUCAUUAAAAUUAAUCUCUUUUAAAUAUUUUUAAAACAAAUGAGAAUAUUUAUAAUAUAAUAAUUAUAAUUUUUCAUACUUUUAACAUUUUUUAUUAUUUCAUUUAAAAAUUAAUAACUAAAAAUAUUCGUUGACACAUCCCGUUCAUACACGAUUUAGUCCAUAUUUGAUUUUGAUAAAAUUUUGAAUAAUUAAUUUUUCUUAAAAGUGAAUUGAAUGUUUUAUAUUUUGAUACAUAGUUGAAUUAUAAGAAUUAAAAAUCAUGUUAAGACUCGAAAUCUACCAAUGAUUGUGUCUUCGAAUUAUGAUAAAUUAUUCAGGGAAAAAUAAUUCUACCAGAAGGCAAAUAAACAUACUAAAAUUGAUUAUAAAAUGGUAAAUCAAACAAAGAAUUAUUAUUUUUAUAUCUUAAAGAGAAAAUUGAUUCUAAAAUACUAAUUUAAGUUUAUUAUGAAAAUUAUAUAAGAAAUAAAUAUUAUUGAUUGAAGAGUUAGUUAAAAUUAUAAUUAUUUUUAAUAUUAUUCAAUAAAAAAUAUGAACAAUUACAAUGCAAUUCCUACAAUUGUGUUGCAUAUUUUAAUUUUAUUCAAGUUGUUUAUCAAGAAACAAGACACUUAAAAAGGUAUUCUAGCAUACAAUUCUUACAAAAAUAAAUGUUUUUCCCUAAUAAAAUAAUUAAAUUUAAUAUUUUCAAUAGCUUGUAGAUAAAAAUAAGAUUAUUUAUAAUAAAAUAUUAAUUAAAGUGAAAUAUAAAUCAUUGAUUUUUAUUAUAAAAAAAAGGACAAAUAGUCGUAACAAAUACAUAAAAAAUACAAGAUAGAAAUAUUUGUAACAGGUAAAUAUAAAAAAAAAUAUAAAAUACACAUUUGUCAUUGUUACAUAGCAAAAUAAUACGCAAAUAUUUUUUAUUUUAUUAAUGCGAAAUAAAAACAAAAAAUUAAAUUCAAAUUCAAAAAAACAGUCUCCUCCAAUAUGUAGAUUUUGAUAGUGGUUUUGCAACAUGACUCCUCCAUAGCAGGAGUUGUAGAGACUCUCAGCACCACCUCUCACUCUAUUGAGGUUGUUGUGCACCUAGAUCAUCGUCGAUGGUCUUUGCCGUCCUUGGUGAUUUCCAUUGAUUUGUAUCUUAACCCCUUAGGAUCCGUUGUCUGUUGUCCACUAUUCAGAAGGAACUCCGUGCCAGAAUGGAUAAACAAGACACUGUCAACGACAACAUUCAGAACAUGCUAGCUCAAUUGCUUCAGAGAAUGCCUCCGCCUCCCAACCCCUAGGCACUUAGGAUUUUGUUUUUAGCCUGUUGUUUUGGCUUGUUCUGAUGACUUGUUCUUUUUGUCCUUGUCUCUGUUGCUUUUACUGAAUACAAUGUUUUUUUCUUGAAUUAUUCUUUUCUGCUAUGUCUUUUGAUUCUGACAAAAAGGGGAGAAGUCAUUAAAUGCUCUGACGAAAUUCUGUUCUAAAUACUUAGCACUUGCAACUAUUUUCUUAAAAUAAAUUUAUCUACACUAGACUUAAGAAAUUGCAGAGGGGCAACAUUAGCUGGGUGGUAAGUUUGGUAUCAAGACCUCAUUCCGCUUGGAAGCUUGGUAAAACUUUUGACUCCCGUAGCCUAUUCUCAGGGGAGGUCUUGUCUAUCUGAUCUGAUAUUGUUUAUGUUUCAUCUGCUAAUUAAGUUUGUUUUGUCAUUUUCAGAAGGGGGGAUUGUAGAACAAAUUGGUGAUCGGUACAGCAGAUUCGGCUCUNNNNNNNNNNNNNNNNNNNNNNNNNNNNNNNNNNNNNNNNNNNNNNNNNNNNNNNNNNNNNNNNNNNNNNNNNNNNNNNNNNNNNNNNNNNNNNNNNNNNNNNNNNNNNNNNNNNNNNNNNNNNNNNNNNNNNNNNNNNNNNNNNNNNNNNNNNNNNNNNNNNNNNNNNNNNNNNNNNNNNNNNNNNNNNNNNNNNNNNNNNNNNNNNNNNNNNNNNNNNNNNNNNNNNNNNNNNNUGCUAUGUCUUUUUGAUUCUGACAAAAAGGGGGAGAAGUCAUUAAUAGCUCUGAUGAAAAUACUGUCUAAAUACCUUAAGCACUCUGCAACAUAUUUUUCUUAAAAAUAAAUUUAUCUAACACUAGACUUAAGAAAUUGCAGAAGGUAUCAAGAAACCUCAUUGCUUGGAAGCUCUGGUAAGAACUUCUGAACUCCCUAGCCUAUCUCAGGGGGAGCUCUUGUCUAUCUGAUCUGAUAUUGUUUAUGUUUCAUCUGCUAAUUAAGUUUGUUUUGUCAUCAUCAAAAAGGGGGAGAUUGUAAGAACAAAAAUUGUUCUACAACAGAUUCCAUGAUUUUGAUGAUAACAAAGGAUGAAACCAAAAAUGGCACCCUAACGAAAAGUUUCUAAGUGUGCAGGAUUCUAAGGAAAGAAGGAAGAGAUCUGAUGACGUCAUCAGAUACAGAAUCAUAUCAGAUACAAAUUAUCAGAAGACCAAAAGCAUCUGAAGUAUAAACACGCUCAAGAAAGUCUAACUCUGAGCAAAAACAACAAAAUAUCAGAAGCAUCUGAACAAGAAGUACGCUCUAGAAGUUCUGACUCUGAACAACGGUAUGUCAAACUCCAGAAGCUAUCAGCGCUAUCUGAAGAAACCAUCAGAACUUAAAAGAGAUCAACAUCAGAAGUUAGAUAGCAAGAUUCCAAGAUUCCCAGAAACACGAAGACUCAGAUCUUGGAUUUCCUAAUAAGGAAAGAGUAACGUUAACUUCAAAUAAAGGCUUGGAAAUGGAUUUCCUAAUACAGAAAGAGACGUUAAACUCCAAAUUCAAAUGAAAAGGAACUAUUUUUGGAAAGUAGUCAUUCGAGGAGAGAAAGUUGUCUUGGCAAGAAGCUAUAUAAGUUAUGGCAUUAAUUUAAAUUAUUGGCCAUCACCUUCAACGACUACUUCACUCCUAUAUAUAAAGGACUGCAAAUCAACAUCAAACACAAGAAUUUACUGAAACAUCAACACACAUAAACACAUUUUAUUCUCUCAAUCUUCACGAAGCUUUUGCUUAGAACGUGAAACACUUUGUUCUUGCUGUUGUAAUAUUUGCUUAUCUUAGAAGCACUCUAGAUUACAUAAGUCUUUAUCCUUGUUUUUUUCCUCAAGUGACUCUGCGCAGUCUGUAUACUUGAGAGGACUAAGAGAUCUUCUCUUAGACGUCGUUUGUAAUCAAUCUUUCAAGAUUAGUGGAUUAAGUCCUUGUUGAAGGCGAAAUCACCUUGGCCGGGUGGACUGGAGUAGCUUUGUGUUAUAAGCGAACCAGUAUAAAUUCCUUGUGUGAUUUUCAUUUUUGAAAAAGCGCUUAUUUUCAAAACAAUUCAAACCCCCCUUUCUUGUUUUUCUCACCUUCAAAGGUUUGAUUUGAUUUUGUAUCAGACAAUUUUGCUUGAAAGAGUUAUAUGGCUUUCACAAUUUGGUUGUGUUUCAGGUUAUUUUAUGGACAUCUCAUGUUGUUCAUAUUUUGCAACAAUAUGUUAUUGAUGAGAUGAUUUAAUUAUGUUUUUGUGGUCGGUUCAUUUGCCAAUUGUUGUGAAAUAUAAAGCUGAAAGUGAUACUUUAUUAAACCAAAGACAAUGACCUUAUAUAGCCUUACAGGAGAAAUAAAGAAAUAACAGAAGCAAACUAGAAACUAGGAAACAGACUCCAUUACGUAAUUAUAGAUGACUUAUUCAACUAAGACAAAUUCAAACUACAACAUACCCUCCCUUAAGCUUAACUCUCAUGAAUUAAGCUUAAUUCAGACAAGUUAACAAUUUCAAGUAAUGCUCUCAGCUUCUCAAACUGCUCCAGCUUCAACGACUUCGUAAAAAUAUCCGCAACUUGGUUUUUUGCUGCACAAUACUCCAGCUUAACAGUUUCCCCAUUCACCAGCUCUCUAAGAUAAUGAAACCUUACUUCGAUAUGCUUACUUUUCCCAUGAAGGACUGGAUGUUUGGACAAAGCAAUCGUCUAACUUGUAAGACCCAAAUUUUGACCCUAAGAUCCCUCAUGGCAUCAUAUCAUUGCACAUUGCAUUUGCCUCAAGGAUCAUAGCAUCUUGACUCCUUAACCUUUGGGUAGGACUUGUGUGAGUUGGUCUGAGACCACCAAGAAUGCUUGAAUAGUAUAUUAUUGCUUUUAUCAUUUUGUUUACUAACCAAAAUCACAAAAAAUAUGUCACUAACUUUGUUUGUUUUGUAGCUUGAGCAAUCAUAAGAUCCAAGGCUCCUAGGAGACCCUUACUCAUUAGAAUGGCCAAAUGAAGUUGAAAGAAAGCAUGACAAUGGUUCACAAGGCUCUCAAUCAUCAUAUAUUCCUCCCAAGUAUCUCAGUUUGUCAAUUUGAUCAAGAUAAACCAAAGGACUUGAGGCCUGUUUCCCAAGGAAACCCUAAUUCAUCUGUGCAUUGAUUGUGCCUUGCUCAUGAAGUAACCUCAAUCCAUGAUCAAAUAUAAUCAAGGGAAUUUCUUUCAUUCAUCAUUUCAUGAAUAUUUGAGCUUAUUUGAGUGUCCUCAAUCAUCAAUUCAUCAAGAUUUGAAGUUUGGACUUGAGAAGUUGAUCAGUCAAUUCAUCUAACUAUUUUAAAAUCCACUGAGACCUAACUUUUGAUGUGUUUGUCAAAUGAAGAUGACCCCAAGAGAAAAAAUGUUCUUAAGAACCAUAUGAACAACUUUCAUGUUCAUCAAAAAUUUAUUUGAAUCUUGUAAGGUCAUCAUCCAUUUCAAAACAUUAUAGGUCAUUUUGACUGAAACCCUAAUUUUGGGUCAACUUCCCAAGGACCUAACUCACUCAUUUUUCAUGAUUUUGAGGUGGGAUCAAAUGAAUUGGAAAGACAUCAUCCAUUUCAAAACAUUAUAGGUCAUUUUGACUGAAACCCUAAUUUUGGGUCAACUUCCCAAGGACCUAACUCACUCAUUUUUCAUGAUUUUGAGGUGGGAUCAAAUGAAUUGGAAAGUUUAACAUGUCUACUUCAUUUUUUAUGUUGAAAAAAUGUUCAUAAUCCUAAAAGAAGUACAUGUGAUAAUGCAAAACAUUAUAGGUCACUUUGGACCAAAGUCAUUGAAAUGUGAAAAAGUCCAACUUCAAGUGCCCAUAACUUUCUCAUCAAAAAUCCAAAUGAUGCAAAAUUUGAGUACAAAUUGAUUUUAUUGAAAAGAUAUACAACUUUGAUGUUGAAGGUUUUGUCAUUUGAGGCUUGCAUCAUUGAAACAGAAGGGCUUGAAGUUGGUCCAUUUUGGCAAAAUUCUCAUACACAUAUUUUGUACAUGGAACUUCAUGAUCAGUUUUCAUUAAUUUCCCAACUCCAAAUGGAUUUUUGUUCAACAUAAAAAUUGUUCCUCAUGUCAAGGCCUUUCCAACCAUUACCCACAUGACCAUGAUUCAUUUUGGUAAGGUGCAUUUUCGAAGAGAUGAAAGUUUAUGUUCAUUUAUGGAAACAAUGUUAAAAAUCCAUGCACAAGCCAAUUCAAUCACACUUGUACGUCCAAUUCAUCUCAAUUACAUAUGAACACUCAAUUGCCAUUGCAUUUGGGCCUCCCAUGCGCCUGUACAGGCCCAUACAUAGAGGCCCUCACUUCAUGCACACAUGAAUUUCACCUUGCUUGCAUCACCUUGUGCUAUAAAUAGAGAUGCUCAGCUUCACUCCAAAUCAACCUUAAGGCGCCUUACAUGCUGCAGAACUGAAUCCCCACCUCACUCAAAGGAAUUUUUUGCAUUUCACUUCAAUUUUUCAGUCUCAAUUUUCAACUUCCUUGGUUGAUUAUUGAGCUCUAAUUCCUUAGCCUCACUUCCUUUCCAUCUCAAGAACACACUGCUAUCAAGAAUUGGGAGAGAUCGUGAUUCAUAGAGAUGCACUUCAAAGGUUGUUGUUCAAACUUUUUCAAUUCGAAUCUCACUGGAUCUUGUUAUUUCUUGUGUUUGUUGGCUCCUCUGAAGUCCUUCAUAAGAGGCAAUUGAAUAUUUAAUUUCACGAAUCCAUCAAGUUCAGAUUGAACACCAUAAUUUUCUCUCUCAGAUUUCUCCUUCUAUGAGAGUCUAGAGGAGAAACCAAUGGCACAGGGGUGAUGUACAUCACCCCAGCUUUCUAAUGAUAUGAGGAUCGUCCAUUUUGGUUGAGAUUUCAUGACCUGCAACUUCCACCGGAGCUAGCAUGCUUGCCGGAGAAGACGGUGGUGUACACCACCGUCCCCGUUGCCAGAUUUAAUCUAGGCCAUUUGAUUGCAUUUCCAGAUCUAAUCAUAGCCUUCAAAUCUUAUGACUUUUAAUAAUGCUAUGUGUUUCUCGUUUGACCAAAGUCUAUGAUGCGCGCGCGCCUGUGAGCCAUCUGAUGUGCCACAUCAUUUAAUGAGAUUGAUCCAACGCGUCAGGCUUUUUGCAUUUUCUGAUUUUUCUAUUUUAUUUUCUUAAUUUUAUUUUAUUUCAAAAAUUCAUAUCUCUUUCAUUUUAAAUCCAAAAAUUAUGGGACCAAUUGCAUUAUUUCCCUUUUUAAUUCUAGUUUCUAAAAAUGAUUUUUAAUAUUUUUUAUUUUUCCAUUUGAUAUUUUUUGUAAAAUUUCUCUUUUCUGGUUAUUUUUAAUUCAUUUUAAAUAGUUUCCAAUAUUCAAAAAAUGCAAAAAUAUUUUCUUAACAUCUUUGAAUGAUGAUGAAUCUAUGAAAAAUAUUCUCAUCAAUUUCUGGAAUUGAUUUGAGAUUUAUUUGAGAUUUUGUUCAAUUAUGUUUAUUUUUUCAUUUUUAAUUGUUUAAAAAAUAGGUUCUGGUUUCCAAAAUGCUGAAGUUUUGUCAAACUUUGUUUGACCUUGUUGAACUUAGGAUGAUCCAUUUGGACUUUUCCAAGUUGAUUUGAAAUGGAUUUGAAGUUUGACCUUUAUUUGAUUAUUUUAAUUCAAGUAUUAUUUUAAUUUUCAAAAAUAGCAAAAAUAUUUUAUUUGUUUCUUGACUUCUAAGCUUCAUCUUACUUCUGUUUACCAUUGAUUAACUUUGAUUCCUUUCAUCUUUGGUCAAUGUAUUUUGCUUUUGUCAUUUGAAUUUCCAUUCAUGUUCAUUCUUAUUCUUCUUCUUCUUCAUCUUUUUUUUUCUUUUUGAUCAAUGAGUUAGAGAUUGGUGGUUAGCCUUGACAUAUGAGGGGCUUAACCUUAUUUGAUUCAAAUCUAAUUCAUCUUGAUCAAGGAUCAAGUGAAUGACUUUGCAUUAGAGAUAGGUUGCUUCUUAGUCAAGCAAAAAAUCUAAAUCAAUACAAGAUCAUUCUUCUUUUAUUUUGGCAUGACAAGUUGUAGGAGCUUGGAUUACUAGUCAUGGUCUCUAACUUGUGUUUGUUGCCUAUAGUUUUAUUGACCGGCCUCAGAUAGGUGUGACUACUACAUUAGUCCACUUACGAUUGCUUAACAUAGCGCUAAAUUGCCUUAUGGCACACACUCAGAUAGGUGUGACUACUACAUUAGUCCACUUACGAUUGCUUAACAUAGCGCUAAAUUGCCUUAUGGCACACUAACAUUAACUAUUAACACUAACUUUUAAUUCAAGUCUUUAAUUCUUGCAAUUUACUUUAAUGCAAUUUAAUUUCUUGCACAUUAAUUCAUUUGCUUUUGCCCUUUACUCACUUGAGCUCAUGUUUAUGUUAAUGCAAUUUGCCUUUUGCUCACUUGAGCACAUUAUUGUGUAUAUACUAUUGUGCUUGUUUUAUUUUGAUUGUGUGAACCCAAUGCAAAUGGACAAAGGACUUAGAUUUUAGGACCUUGCCUAUGCUAAAUGGAGUCAAAGAGAAACUAGGCCUCAUGCCUUUAGAAUGCUAUGAAAGAAAAAUGUCAAAGAGCAACUAGGCCUCAUGCCUUUAGAAUGCUUAAUGUUGAAGAUGAAUUGAAAGGACCUCUAAUUCUAAACUCCCUCUUGUCCAUUCUUUAUUUGUUUUGUGGAACUUUUUUAUUUGUGUGUUCUUGUGCUAGGGAUCCCAAACUUGCAAAGUAGAAGAACCAUUGUCAUGAGCAUCCAAAGUGAGAGAUACAAAAGCCAUUGGAAGAUUCCUAGGAGCUUGAUUGUUAUGUGCUUGAUUGCUUGAGUUAUUUGCUUAUUGCUUGUUAUAUCCAAAGGAAGGAGCAACUUGGAUCAUCACCAUGAUCUCAAGAAGGAAACUCCAUUGUGGUUUUAUUUCUCUUCCUUUAUCCUUGCAUGUUUAGGACUUAGCCAUUCUUCUUCUUCCUUCCACUCUAACCCAAGCCAAACUUUUGUGCACACAUUAACAUUGUUUUCAAAAUUAGAAACCUAAGCUCUAUGCUUUUGAUUUUUUCAAACUCUUUUCAUAACACUUAUCUGGAAUUGAACCCUUAAGUCAACUUUGACCAUACUUUGUGAAUACUUUUCAUUUGUAAAUACAACUCACUCAAUUGUUUUGUGGUUUCAAUGGCCACUUUGCCAAAGCUUUUCAUAAACAUUAGCUAUUAGGUUUAAGUUAUCCUAGAGGUUGAUAUAAUACUCACCUAUAUCCUUAGUGAUAGGAUUAUGAGUCUUCCAUGCUUAUUAUAGGGUUAACCCCUCACUAGCAUGUUGAAGCUCUCCUCACAUGGUGGAUUUGUGGUUUUAGGUUGAGUUUCUCCCUUUGAUAACAAAAGACCUUAAGGCUUUUGACCAAUCAAUUCACCAACUUCUUUUGAGAAUUUCACCCUGAACUACGAGGUUUUGAUCCUACCUUUUUAAGAUGGUACGUAGGCAAUGGGUUCAUCCUUUCAAACACAAAAUUGUAAAUAACUUAUAUAUUCUCUUCUCAUCUCCCCAAUCAUGUUUGCACAAAUAUUUUUCCCAAAUACCAACCUACCUUACAACAUUAGUGAAAAGGGCUCCCUUAGAGUACUAAGGAUGUUUUGGAUGCUUAAAACCUUCACAUUGCAUAACCAACCCCCUUACCCAGAUCUCUGACAUUUUUAUUAGUUUUUGAUUCGAUAAAACUUCUCGGUUUUUGUUCGCUUUCUAACCUUUCCUUUGGAUAAAUAGAAGUGCGGUGGCGACUUGAAUUGUAUGAUUUACUUUUGAUUUAGUCAAUAAAUCUAAAGGUAACGAAUACCCCGCUACAAAAAAGUGGCGACUCUGCUGGGGAUGAUUUGCCUAGUGGGUUUUGCCUACUUUUCACUUUUGUUGUAUUGUAUUAUUUAUAUUAUUUGUGACAUAUUUUUGUGCAAAUUUGGGAUUAUUGUAUUGAUUGUAAUGUACGAAUUGCUUGAUAUAUCAAUUGCUUGUGUGCUUGGUGGUCUCUUGUGAGACGAGUUCUAUACCCGAACUCGAGUGCACUUAUGAUAGGAGAAUGGCAUAGUCUUGUUGACUUGUGUGGAGUUAUUCCUUAACAAGUUGACUUGCAAGCCCAUUCACUUGGUGGAGGUUAUGUUGGGAUCAAUAAUGUCACACAAGUAGUCGUGGUUAGGCAUUACUCUUUCCAAUAUAUGCCUUAGAAGCCAAGGACCUUAGAUUACCCCCAUCUUGGCCUUUUUAGGACGUAGGAAGGGUUCAAGUGUAAGUUUGAUACGAUUGUACGCAUAACUACAUCCAUAGAGUCUCUCUAUAUUUUUGGAAUACGAGUAGUCAUUUAUCCGAUAAUAUCUGAAAGAUGGGAUGAUGACUAUGGGAACCUCUUGUAGAACAUGAUUGUCAGGUUUAACCAUAGUACACUCCCUUUGGAUGGUUCUUAACCGAGACUCCAUGCUCGUGACUUACAACAAACCCUUGAUUCAUGGUUGAUCCGUUCUUGUGUAUCCUUAAUAUCAAUGGAACUUGGGUGUUGAUAAGGUGAAAACCAUAAUCCACCAAAAUGGACUAGUGAUAUUAAGGAUGACUUGAUCCAUCCCAUGACCUUUGUAUGGUGUGAUUUGCUUGAUCCUUGAGUGUGAUUGUUGCAUCCAUGCAUUCAUGCAUUCAUACACAUCCAUAUCAUCAACAAUGAUAAAAUUUUCAAGGAACCUAAGAGGUUUAUUUGCAAAUUUUCAGACAUGAAUAAGCAAAGAAGGAAUACAAAGAAGUACAGUUUCAGACAACCCGACUUGAAAGAGUUAAGGAGUUUGACAUCCUAUGUAUUAGAUCCCUUGGAGUUCAAGGCUCGUCGUGAGAAGCUUCUGUCUAUUCUUGCAACUCAGGUGGAUGAAGGUCUGAUGAGUGUGUUGGUACAGUUCUAUGAUCCCUUGUACCGUUGCUUCACAUUCCCGGAUUUCCAGCUUUUGCCCACGCUUGAGGAGUAUGCCUAUCUUGUGGGUAUAUCCCGUUCCGACUCUGUUGAGUGACACUUAUUUCUCUUUGCAUAUGAGGAAUGCAAAGGGUGGUGGUACCAUUGUGUGUUGUUUUCCUCUGUUGUACAAGUGGUUUAUUUCUCACUUGCCUCAAACGCUCGCCUUCAAGGAGAAAAAAAGAUGUCUACGGUGGUCCACGAGACUUAUGUCUCUCACUAACGAUGAUAUCUUUUGGUAUAACCGUGUAUACGAUGGUGUGCAAAUUAUCGACUCUUGUGGUGAAUUCUCCAAUGUGCCUCUUCUUGGUACAUGUGGUGGGAUUAACUACAACCCUAUUUUAGCACGUCGUCAGCUUGGGUUCCCAUUAAAGGAUAAACCCAAUAACAUUUUGUUAGAAGGUAUGUUCUUUCAAGAGGGUAAAGAUCCCCAAAACAUGAAGGGCAGGAUGGUCCGCGCUUGGCGCAAGAUUCAUAGAAAGGGAAGGAAAGAGCUUGGUCUGAAGAAUUGUAUUACUUUGGAACCCUAUACCUCGUGGGUGAGGAGGAGAGCUUCUGAGUACCUUAUGCCUUAUGACUACCCGAGACCUACACCUAUGGUUGUGGCUGAGCCUUCAACCCUCCCUAACCAAGGAGUAGAGGAGUUGAGAGAUGAAGACCGUUCACGUGCUUGGAUCCGUGAGCGAGAGGAGCUACUUCAGCAGCUUAGAGAUAAGGAUGCUUUGAUAGAGUUUCUGGAGCAUCAGGUUAUCGACGAGCCUGAUGAUGUAGUCACUUCUCUUCUUCCUCAGUCUUCCAGGUUUUGGAAGAGGAAGUACGAUCGACUCGCCAAGGAGAAGGCAAAUAUGGAGGCAACCUAUGAGAGAGAGGUGAAGAGGCUUCGUGGAACUUAUCUUCCAGUCUCGAGAGAUUUGGACGAUUGGUUCUAGGGUUCCAUAGGAUGUUCAUUUUCCUUCUCCCUUGUAUUGUAUUUGGUUACCAAGAUUGUACUUCUUUGGUGUAAAAAUAUUUUCCAGAUGUUAUUGAUAUGAUUAUUCCACAUAUGUCUAAAUGAUUAAUAUUUCCAACAUUUGCAAAUAGGACUCUAAAAGUUCCUCUGAUAAAAAAUAAAUCAUAUGCACAAGCAUUGCAUGCAUCAUGUGCAUAAGCAGGUUUUGUUCCAGGGCUUCUUGUUCAGUGGUCUAACUCUGUGUUUUUCAUUUAUUUUAAAGACAAGCUGACGCACCGGUACUAUACCAGAGCCAACUCAUCAAAGCUAGUGGAUCACCUCGAGCAAGAGAACCGAGAAUUGAAGGAGGAAGUGGAAAGAUUGACUGCCCUGAUGGAGUUUUUUUUGGCCGCCCAAAGUCAGUCUUCUCCAACGCCUUCAACUCCUCCCCAGAGGACACGUCAUUUCUGAGAUUCCUUCCUCAACAGUACCUGCUUCCAGUGCCCACUUCGUGCCUACUGUUAUGCCAGCCGGGUUUCCCUGAGGGAUGCCCGCGAACUUUGUUCCAGAGGGUCUCGCCCCAACUUUUGCUUCUUUGUCGGUAUCUAGCCCGGUCCUUGCUGUGCCGCCUCCAGUCGUGCAUACUUUGCCGAUAGUAGAUGACAUCAUUUACCACUCUGAGCCAUCUGAGGGCCCAGACGUGUAUGAAAAGAUGGAUGCCAUGAACGAUCAAUUCCUUGAGCUGCGCAAGGAACUCAAAACUCUCAGAGGGAAGGACCUCUUUGGCAAAUCUGCUGCUGAGCUUUGCCUUGUUCCUAAUGUCAAGAUUCCUGUCAAGUUCAAAGUGCCUAACUUUGAAAAGUACAAAGGAAACACUUGCCCACUCAGCCAUUUGGUUAUGUAUGCACGAAAAAUGUCGACUCAGAACGACAAUGAUCAACUCUUGAUCCAUUACUUCCAGGAUAACCUGUCCGGUGCCGCCUUGAGAUGGUACAUGGGUUUGGACAGCUCGAACAUCCGCUCCUUCAAUGACCUUGGCGAAUCCUUCGUCAAGCAAUACAAAUACAACGUUGAUAUGGCUCCCGAUAGGGACCAGCUGAGGGCCAUGUCCCAGAAGGAUAAAAAAACUUUUAAGGAGUACGGCCAGAGGUGGCGAGAAUUGGCUGCACAGAUUGUGCCUCCGCUAGAAGAGAAAGAGAUUACCAAGAUCUUUCUAAAACCUUGAGUUCAUUCUACUAUGAGCGGAUGAUUGCUAGCGCUCCUUCUGACUUCACCGAGAUGGUAAACACGGGGAUGCGUUUAGAAGAAGGAGUCAGGGAAGGGAGCCUGACCAAAGAAGAAGGCUCUUCUGCCAAACAAUAUGGGGCGUUUGCGAAGAAGAAAGAUGGCGAGGCACAUGCUGUGACCUCCCAUAUUAAAUCUAGAAGACCCUCUGUGAAGAGGAAGACUGUGCAUUCCGCCAGUAAUCAGCACCAGAUGGAUCAUAUAGCACCUGCAUUCAGAGAAAACCAACAUUAUCAACAUUAGAACCAGCAACAACAACAUCAACAGUAUCAACAACAACAACACUGUCCUCAACAGCAGGCCUACCAGCCUCAAAACAACAAUCAAACCAGCACUAGCUAUGAUAGGAAGAGGGUCAGUUUUGAUCCUAUUCCCAUGACCUACGCAGAGCUAUAUCCUUCUUUAAUUGAAAGGAAGUUGAUCACUCCACGUGACCCACCUGCUAUACCUACCAACCCUCAGUGGUGGUAUAAGCCUGAGCUUCAUUGUGUUUAUCAUUCCGGUUCUCCCAGACAUGAUGUGGAGAACUGUUACCCUCUCAAUACCAAGGUUCAAGACCUUGUUAGAAGUGGUAUUCUGUUUUUCGAGGACAUAGGUCCUAAUGUGAAGAAGAACCCAUUGCCCGAGCAUGGGAAAUCUGCUGUUAACAUGGUUCAGGGUUGCCCUGGCAAAUAUAAGGUCCGAUAUGUCAACCAUAUCCGACAAUCUUUGGUCGAGAUGCACAGACAGUUGUGUGGAUACAGUCAUUACGAGCAUGACCAUGACAGUUGCCGUGUUUGUACUGUCAAUGAGAGGGGAUGUCGACAAGUUAGAAAAGACAUCCAAGAAAUGCUGGAUCAGGGUGUAAUUGAGAUACUUCAGAAUCGUGAUGAGGAUGAUGAAGUUAAUGUGAUAUCACCUGUAUUUAGGAUACCUGAGCCUGUUGUCGUCAGAUAUGAUGGCAGCAAGCAGAAGGCUUCUCCUACUCUCAUAAUUAAGCUAGUUGGCCCUAUGCCUUAUUCUUCUGACAAGGCCGUUCCCUAUCGAUAUAAUGUAGUGGCAUUAGAAGAUGGGAAGAAGGUGCCUCUAUCCUCCACUUCUGUUGUUAAUAUUGCUGACGUCAGCGGUUUGACCCGUAGUGGUCGUGGUUUUUCGGCGCCGCCAAAACCCCAAGCUGACACCAGAAGAGUUGAUACUGUUGAUAAUGUCGUUCGUCCUUUGGGGAAUUCUUCUGUUUCUCCGAAUCCGGCACUUGCUGUUAAUAGACCUGCCGCCGCUACUAAAACUCCUGCGCCUACUGGCCAGAAUGGCAUGAUGAAAGAGGACUGUGAUGAGAUGUUGAGGCUCAUUAAGAGGAGUGAAUACAAUGUUGUAAAUCAGCUUCUACAAACGCCUUCAAAGACAUAUGUGUUGUCUUUAUUGAUGAAUUCUGAGCCACACCGUGAAGCUUUGCAGAAGGUGUUGGACGUGGUGUAUGUAGAUCAUGACGUCACAAUAGAACAAUUUGAUAACAUUGUUGCAAACAUUACUACUUGUAACAAUAUGAGUUUCUGUGAUGCUGAUCUCCCCGAGGAGGGAAGGAACCACAAUUUGGCUCUACACAUUUCCAUGAAUUGCAAGGAUGAUUCCUUGUCUAAUGUGCUGGUAGACACAGGAUCAUCGCUAAAUGUGUUGCCAAAAUCCACUCUGGCGAAACUUUCUUAUCAGGGGCCUCCCAUGAGGCAGAGUGGAGUCGUUGUUAAGGCUUUUGAUGGAUCCAGGAAAACUGUGAUUGGAGAGGUUGAGCUCCCAAUCAAGAUUGGACCUAGUGAUUUCCAUAUCACUUUCCAGGUCAUGGAUAUCCACCCAUCAUAUAGCUGCUUGCUUGGCAGACCAUGGAUUCAGGAGGCAGGCACCGUGACAUCCACCCUACACCAAAAGUUGAAAUUCGUCAAGAAUAAGAAGUUGGUGGUGAUAGGGGAAGAGAAGGAUCUCUUGGUAAGCCAUUUGUCUUCCUUUUCCUAUAUAGAUGCUGAGGAUGAGGUUGGGACGCCGUUCCAAGCCUUAUCUAUUGAUGAGCCUUUAAGGAAAGGAACUUCUUCAUUUGCGUCCUACAAUGAUGCGAAGUUGGCCAUUGAGCAUGGUGCAACUACUGGUUUAAGACAAAUGAUUAAGCUGGAAGACAAUAAAUCCCGGGCUGGCAUAGGGUACUCUUCAGGCACAUUUAAUGAGCACGGUUUAUUCCAGAGUGGAGGUUUCAUCCACACGAUCGAAGACCAAGAGGCUGCUGCUAUAGUGGAAGAUGAUGCAGAGGAAGAUUCUGGCAACUUUGUCAUCCCUGGAGGAGUCUGCAAUAAUUGGGUCGUUGUUGAUGUUCCAACAGUUGUCCAUAAGUCUACGUAAUAUGUUCACCUUUGUUUAAAAACCCUUCUCCCAUGCCAAAAGGAGAAGUGAUGACACUGUUGGCACAUUAAUACAAUGAUAUUCAUUCAAUAAUUACAUGUUAAAUGUUUGUUUUUCCAAAUCAUUUUCCCUUUUUGCUUUUUUCAUGAAAUUGGUGAUCACUAAAAAACCCUAAAAAGAGAAUCUUUUCAUCUGCAUAAUGAUUUGCCUUGUUUGAAAUCUGAAAUCUCUUUUAUAUCCAAAAUCAUUAUGCAGGUUGAUCAAAACCCAUUGAACAUAAUGAUCCAACACCAUCUCCCAACUUUGAGUUCCCUGUAUUUGAGGUAGAAGAAAAUGAUGUUGAAAAGAUUCCUGAUGAGAUUACCCGUCUGCUAGAGCACGAAGAGAAGGUCAUUCAGCCGCAUCUUGAGAAUCUGGAAACAGUCAACUUGGGGUCUGAAGAUUGUGUUCACGAAGUGAAGAUUGGGGCACUCCUUAAAGCAUCUGUGAAGAAGGGGUUGAUUGAGUUGCUACGAGAAUAUGUCGACGUCUUUGCCUGGUCGUAUGAAGACAUGCCUGGUCUAGAUACAAAUAUCAUGCAACAUUUCCUGCCUUUGAAGCCUGAGUGUGUGCCUGUGAAGCAGAAGCUCAGAAGAACUCAUCCUGAUAUGGCAGUGAAGGUUAAAUAAGAAGUUCAGAAGUAAAUUGAUGCGAGGUUUCUGGUGACUUCUACAUAUCCUCAAUGGGUGGCCAAUAUUGUGCUCGUGCCUAAGAAAGAAGGAAAAGUCCGAAUGUAUGUGGACUAUAGAGACUUGAAUAAAGCUAGUCCGAAAGAUGAUUUUCCUCUACCACACAUUGAUAUGUUGGUAGACAAUACAACUAAAUUCAAUGUUUUCUCAUUCAUGGACGGAUUUUCCGGUUAUAACCAGAUUUAAAAUGGCACCCGAGGAUAUGGAGAAGACAACAUUCAUCACACCUUGGGGAACAUUCUGUUAUCGAGUGAUGCCCUUCGGUUUGAAGAACACCGGAGCCACGUAUUAACGAGCUAUGACUACCUUGUUUCCUGAUAUGAUGCACAAGGAGAUCGAGGUAUAUGUUGAUGACAUGAUUGCAAAGUCGAGAAUGGAAGUUGAACAUGUAGAGCACUUGUUAAAGCUUUUUUAGUGUUUGAGGAAGUAUAAGCUUCGUUUGAAUCCUAACAAGUGUAUAUUCGGAGUCCGUUCCGGCAAGUUAUUGGGAUUUAUUGUCAGCGAGAGAGGUAUUGAAGUUGAUCCUGCCAAGGUCAAAGCAAUACAAGAGAUGUCUGCGCCCAAAACUGAGAAGCAAGUCCGAGGUUUUCUUGGCCGCUUGAAUUAUAUUUCCAGAUUUAUAUCUCACAUGACUGCUACAUGUGCGCCUAUAUUCAAGCUCCUCCGGAAAGAUCAGCGUCAUGAUUGGACCGAGGAUUGCCAAAAGGCCUUUGACAGUAUUAAAGAGUAUCUGUCUGAGCCUCCGAUUCUGUCUCCGCCUAUGGAAGGGAGACCCUUGAUUAUGUAUCUGACAGUUCUUGAAGACUCCAUGGGUUGUGUCCUUGGUCAGCAAGAUGAAUCAGGGAAAAAAGAAUAUGCCAUCUACUAUCUGAGUAAGAAGUUCACUGAUUGUGAGUCUCGAUACUCGAUGCUUGAGAAAACAUGUUGUGCUUUGGCUUGGGCUGCUAAGCGCUUACGCCAGUAUAUGUUAAAUCAUACGACUUGGUUGAUAUCCAAUUUGGCUUGGGCUGCUAAGCGCUUACGCCAGUAUAUGUUAAAUCAUACGACUUGGUUGAUAUCCAAAAUGGAUCCAAUUAAGUAUAUCUUUGAGAAGCCUGCUUUAACUGGGAGGAUUGCCCGUUGGUAGAUGCUGUUGUCUGAGUAUGAUAUUGAGUAUCAAGCUCAGAAGGCUAUUAAAGGAAGUAUCUUGGCUGACCACUUGGCACAUCAACCAAUUGAGGAUUAUCAGUCAUUUCAGUACGACUUCCCUGAUGAGGAGAUUCUGUAUUUGAAAAUGAAAGAUUGCGAUGAGCCUACGCUCGAUGAAGGGCCAGAGCCUGAAUCCCGAUGGAGCAUGGUGUUUGAUGAUGCUGUAAAUCAAUAUGGAAAUGGUAUUGGGGUAGUGAUUAUUACUCCUCAAGACACACAUUUUCCUUUUAUAACAAGGCUAACUUUCAAAUGCACGAAUAAUAUGGCGGAAUAUGAGGCAUGUAUUAUGGGUUUAGAAGAAUGUAUUGAUCUUAGGAUCAAGUAUCUUGAUGUUUAUGGUGAUUCGGCCCUUGUUGUUAAUCAGAUUAAGGGUGAAUGGGAGGCGAAUCAGCCUGGCCUCAUCCCAUAUAGAGAUUAUGCGAGGAGGAUUUCAAUGUUCUUUAUUGAGGUUGACUUCCAUCAUAUUCCUCGAGAUGAGAAUCAGAUGGCAGAUGCUCUUGCUACACUUGCUUCGAUGAUUGUGGUGAAAUUCUGGAAUGAAGUCCCCAAUAUUACUAUAAUGCGCUUGGAUAGACCAGCUCAUGUAUUUGCAGUAGAAGAAGUGAAAGAUGAUAAGCCAUGGUAUAUUGAUAUCAAGUGCUUUCUCUAGAGUCAGAUUUACCCGCCUGGGGCAUCUGUUAAAGAUAAGAAGACUUUGAGGAGAUUGUCUGACAGUUUCUACCUCAAUGGCGAUGUGCUUUAUAAGAGGAAUUUUGACAUGGUCCUGCUUAGAUGCGUGAAUAUACACGAAGCAGACCGGUUGAUGACUGAAGUCCAUGAGGGUUCAUUUGGUACUCAUUCCAAUGGACAUGUCAUGGCAAAGAAGAUGUUGAGAGCAGGCUACUAUUGGCUGACAAUGGAGUCUGACUGCUGCAAGUAUGUGAAGAAAUGCCAUAAGUGUCAGAUUUAUGCGGAUAAGAUUCAUAUUCCCUUGACACUUCUGAAUGUUAUUUCCUCACCAUGGCCUUUCUCUUUGUGGGGAAUUGACAUGAUUUGCAUGAUAGAGCCGAAAGCAUCCAACGCUCACAGGUUUAUUCUCGUAGCAAUUGAUUACUUCACCAAAUGGGUUGAAGCGGCGUCAUAUGCGAACGUGACCAGGCAAGUGGUUCUGAAGUUCAUCAAGAAUCAACUCAUAUGCCGUUAUGGUGUGCCAGACAAGAUCAUUACUGAUAAUGGGUCUAACUUGAACAACAAGAUGAUGAAAGAGAUGUGUAGCGAGUUCAAGAUUGCACAUCAUAAUUCUUCUCCUUAUAGACCCAAGAUGAAUGGGGUUGUUGAAGCAUCUAAUAAGAAUAUCAAGAAGAUUAUCCAGAAGAUGGUUGUUACGUACAAAGAUUGGCAUGAGAUGCUGCCAUUUGCUUUGCAUGGUUAUCGUACAUUUGUCCGCACUUCAACAGGGGCAACCCCUUUCUCCCUUGUAUAUGGCAUGGAGGCUGUGCUUCCCGUGGAGGUUGAGAUCCCAUCAAUGAGAGUCUUGAUGGAAGCCAAGUUGACUGAGGCUGAAUGGGUUCAGAGUCGUUAUGACCAACUGAAUUUGAUAGAAGAGAAGAGAUUGACUGUCAUGUGCCAUGGUCAGUUAUAUCAGCAAAGGAUGAAGAAAGCCUUUGAUAAGAAGGUCAAGCCUCGUGUGUUCCGAGAAGGUGAAAUUGUGCUCAAGAAAGUCUUGUCUUUCGCGCCGAUUCCAGGGGCAAGUGGACUCCAAACGAUGAAGGUCCAUAUGUUGUUAAGAGAGCCUUUUCAGGCGGUGCUUUGAUACUUACAACUAUGGAUGGGGAGGAUUUCAUCCGUCCUGUAAACUCAGAUGCAGUCAAGAAAUACUUCAUCUAAAAUAAAACAGAAUAGCUCGCUAGUUGAAAACCCGAAAGGGCGGCUUAGGCAAAAAAAGCGUCUCGUGGAUAAAAACUCGAAGGGCGAUCCAGGCAAAAGUUAGAGACAUAUAAAAAUAUAUAUAUAAUAUAUAUAUAUAUAUAUAUAUAUAUAUAUAUAUAUAUAUUAUAUAUAUAUAUAUAUAUAUAUAUAUAUAUAUUAUAUAUAAUAUAUAUAUAUAUAUAUAUAUAUAUAUAUAAUAUAUUAUAGUAUAUGAUAUAUAAUAAUAUAUAUAUCCCGCUAGAUUGAGUACCUCACCCUGGGGCAAUCUAGGCAAAAAUCAGGGAUUUGGCAAGUAAUUGCAUCCUGACAAGACUUUGUUCUACAGCCGUCAUCUGUCAGAGAUUUUCGCUCAGUCAUCGUCAACUGAAGCUUCAAAUACAUUGGAUUCAGAGUUGGUGGAGAAAUGGUCAUUAUGUUCAAUGUAGCCCUUUUCUAAUAUAUAUCACCAAUUUCAAAUUUGUAAAGAUCCAUGGAGUCUUGCCAUUUGCAGACUCCCAUUCCAUCAAAUAAAUUUGAGCCUUUACCCAAUUCUUUGCACUCUUAUUGGUUUCUGUUUAACAAAUGUUUACAUGUUUUAAUUGAUAAAUAUCAUUGUUUUAAAUAAAUAAAGUUUUUAUAAACUGUUUUUAAACAAAGUGAACAUUCAGAACAACCGAAAGGAUAAUUGAGACAUCUUCAGUGCUCUCCCAAGAACAGUAUGAUCUCCAAAAGGGUAAGACAUUUGUUCAUUAUUCCUAGCAUACUUGUAUCCUCUUCAUUAUCUUUCAGGUUGUCUCCUCCGCGAACGCAGAAGAGUGUUAAGCAUCACCAAUUUCCGUAGAGAGUCUGGAGCUUUGGUCCUGGUUUGUUUAGGGAAGUAUAUCUCUAACCCCCUCAACUCCCCAGAGAGUCUGGAGUUUGGGUUUCAGUCUUCUAGCUCCCCAGUGAGUCUGGAUCUAGCAUUUGUGCUAUCAAUUGUAUGGUUGUCAUCCCUGUCACAACGCGAAAAACAACCGACGGAAAAAAUUACAGAUUAUAGAGCCGCCACCGACGCUAUUCAUCCUAUGACGGAAAGGGAGCGCAGGACUAACCUAAGAAAGGGAAAGGAAUGGUCUUACGACCAGAGAUUACAAGGUACAUGAGUCGGUUACGCAAGGGGAAGGUAUUAGCACCCCUCACGUCCGUCGUACUCGACGGGAUCCAUGCUCAAAAGAUAGCUCAAAGAGUAAGAAAAGGUUGCUAAUAAAACUGCUCAAAGAAAAUGCACAAACUGGAAUAAUAAACAGGUGGGAGGAAAAAACGGAGGAAGUGGACUCGGCAGGAUGUCGCAUCUUGGGCCUACGUAGUUUGUCAGAAACAAACAUCAGAGUCAACGUAGUUCGGGGAAAGGGAGACAUGCUCACUAAGACAUCGCGUCCUAUGCCUACGUAUCUUCUCUAUCCAGAGGAGAAUCAGAGCACUCGUAGCUCGGCUAAUGCACGCCAAAACAAGACACUAAAAAGGAGACGUUGAGACGUCAAAAGAAACACCCAAAAGGAAACAGAUUGCCAAUACAUGGACUUACACCCGACUCCUGACAAUAACCAAACAAAAGAAAACAGAAUGCCAAUACAUGGACUUACAUCCGACUCCCAACAACAACAAACAAAGAGGAAACAAAAUGCCAAUACAUGGACUUAUAUCCGACUCCUAACAAUAACAAAUAAACAGGAAACAGAAUGCCAAUACAUGGACUUAUAUCCGACUCCUAACAAUAACAAACGCUAACCAGCGAACACCAAAGAAAAAGGUUAUCAGAAUGAACCCCAACAAAGUAACCAAAUAUCCAAAGAUGAACCCCAAAGAUGAACCCCAAGUGAAUAAUCACCACAAACGUCGCAAACGAACCCCAAGUGAGUGACAACCGUCACAAAUGAACCCCAAAGAUGAUAACCAUCAUCACAAACGUCGCAAAUGAACCCCAAGUGAGUGACAACCGUCACAAAUGAACCCCAAAGAUGAACCCCAAAUGAUACCGGUAAACCCCAAUAUGAACCCCAAGUGAUACAGGUAAACCCCAAUAUGAAUGACAACAGUCAUAAAUGAACCCCAGAGAUGAACCCCAAAUAAAUCUCAAAGAUGAACCCCCAUAAGGUAUAAACAUACCACACACGCCCACGCUGGGCAAACAAGUACUCACACCAAAACAAAGAAGAGGGUGAACACACGCAAACAACACAACAUAAAAGAAAAAGGGUGACGACACACAUAAAAAAACAAAAGGGUUCCCGGAGAGAUUGCUCACAACCUCCUGCUUACGUAUCUCAUCUGGUAUGAGAAUCAGGGCGACGUAGUUCCCCUUAACAGGGGAAAGGAGACAACAAACUAAUAGGGAGACUAAGACUCGAGCCUAAUAGUUGUCAUGCCAACAAUAUCCCUAAGUCGGGAAUAAGGGUGAUGAACACACACAAAAAAACAAAAGGGUGCCCGGAGAGAUUGCUCGCAACCUCCUGCCUACGUAUCUCAUCUGGUAUGAAAAUCAGGGCGACGUAGUUCCCCUUAACAGGGGAAAGGAGACAACAAACUAAUAGGGAGACUAAGACUCGAGCCUAAUAGUUGUCAUGNNNNNNNNNNNNNNNNNNNNNNNNNNNNNNNNNNNNNNNNNNNNNNNNNNNNNNNNNNNNNNNNNNNNNNNNNNNNNNNNNNNNNNNNNNNNNNNNNNNNNNNNNNNNNNNNNNNNNNNNNNNNNNNNNNNNNNNNNNNNNNNNNNNNNNNNNNNNNNNNNNNNNNNNNNNNNNNNNNNNNNNNNNNNNNNNNNNNNNNNNNNNNNNNNNNNNNNNNNNNNNNNNNNNNNNNNNNNNNNNNNNNNNNNNNNNNNNNNNNNNNNNNNNNNNNNNNNNNNNNNNNNNNNNNNNNNNNNNNNNNNNNNNNNNNNNNNNNNNNNNNNNNNNNNNNNNNNNNNNNNNNNNNNNNNNNNNNNNNNNNNNNNNNNNNNNNNNNNNNNNNNNNNNNNNNNNNNNNNNNNNNNNNNNNNNNNNNNNNNNNNNNNNNNNNNNNNNNNNNNNNNNNNNNNNNNNNNNNNNNNNNNNNNNNNNNNNNNNNNNNNNNNNNNNNNNNNNNNNNNNNNNNNNNNNNNNNNNNNNNNNNNNNNNNNNNNNNNNNNNNNNNNNNNNNNNNNNNNNNNNNNNNNNNNNNNNNNNNNNNNNNNNNNNNNNNNNNNNNNNNNNNNNNNNNNNNNNNNNNNNNNNNNNNNNNNNNNNNNNNNNNNNNNNNNNNNNNNNNNNNNNNNNNNNNNNNNNNNNNNNNNNNNNNNNNNNNNNNNNNNNNNNNNNNNNNNNNNNNNNNNNNNNNNNNNNNNNNNNNNNNNNNNNNNNNNNNNNNNNNNNNNNNNNNNNNNNNNNNNNNNNNNNNNNNNNNNNNNNNNNNNNNNNNNNNNNNNNNNNNNNNNNNNNNNNNNNNNNNNNNUAUCAUGAAUGAUCAACAUGCAAAAUAUCAAAUCCAGAAAGAUUCAAAUGCUAUGUGAACAAAAAUGUGACAAUCCAAUGCCAAAAAUGUGACACAAAUUGUCACAUUUUUCUUCAUGUGUCAAAAGUGAUGAUAGCAUAUGAGAAAAAUUCCAAACCAAUGCUCAAAAAUUCACAUCAUGUAUGAUCAUUAAGCAUGCAAAAAAUCAGAUCAAUUGGAUCAAAGAUGAAGAUUUCACAAAGCAAUGAAUGCAACAUAUCAAAAUAGCAUGGCAUGGAUCAAAAAAUUCACAAAUAAAAAUCCAGCAAACAAAAAUUCAUGAAAAUAAUAUCAAAAAAAAAAACUAGACAUCAAAACAGAACUAUGAAAAAAAAUUGGAGUUAAUUUGGAUCAUUUUUCAAUUUUUAAUGAUUUUUCAAAGUAACUACAAUAAUAUGAAAUCACAUGGAAAUAUGGAGGGAAAAGAGAUAUUUCAAAUAAUACUCAGAAUAUUCACAUCCACACGAUCAGGCGUGAGAAUCACAUCAACGGUCCAGGUUUGAACAU
RNAcentral lists this long non-coding RNA (37199 nucleotides) under Lathyrus oleraceus (garden pea). RNAcentral's name for it is "Pisum sativum (pea) long non-coding RNA (PSAT_LNC032156)". Lineage: Eukaryota; Viridiplantae; Streptophyta; Magnoliopsida; Fabales; Fabaceae. The record is from RNAcentral.